CCUCCCUAGGUCGGCGGCAGCCAGGAGUGCUGAGGAGGGUGAAGCUCCUGGUCUGGUAGCCAACAGCCCUGGGUGGCCACCUCCUGCCAAGUGAGGCCGGCUGGGUGGUGACCGCCCUUGACCCUGGUCCCUCCAGCUUUGCCAGGGCCUCCCCGAUCCCUGCUGGGCUGUCUGUCCCUCCACCGUUCAAGGUUGUGGCUUCUGAAAGACCCGCUGCUCCCUCUUGGGGAGCUGAGGCUGUGUGGCUAGAGACAGCCGGCAGCCGGCAGCCGCCCCGCGCCUGGGGGAGCUGCGUGCACCCCGCUGCCGCUGAGGAGGACCUCCCGGCCGGAGUCUGCGGAGCCGUUCUUGCCGAUUCUUCGUUCUUACAGCCAGCAUGCACCCAGCUUCCCUGUCUAUGAGCUGGGCUCCUCCAGGACUGUCACCCAAUUUCCCCGUGUGGCUUUCACCAGUCAGUGACCACUGGUGGUGUCUCCUGCCUGCCCUGAGCAGGGCUGUUGGUGGCCAGGACAGCGUGAGGGGCCCUGCCUGUGGAGAGGACGUGUGACCUGUUCCCAGGGAGUGGAGGGGAGCCCGGGCCCUGCAGAGGAGGCGGGGGUGUGAGUCUGGCUUCCAUGCCACGAAGUGGGCAUGAGCUCCAGUGGCCGAUGCUGGUGUUCUGGGCCCUAGAGGCUGCACGGCUGGGACCAAGCUGGGCUGGGCUGGCUCCCCUGGGCCUCUUCCUUGGCCGGCAGAAGCCGUUUCUUCCCCAGCCUCACGUGGCCGUCCUCUGUGCCUGUGUCCUGAUCUCUCAGGACUACGCCAGGCACACUGGAUGAGGCUCACCCGCACGACCUCACUUGGCCUCAGCUGCCUCUUGAAGACCCAUCUCUACACACGAGCACGUUCUGAGGUGUGCGUGGAUUUCAGGAGGACACCAGCCAUCGCAGGUGAGCAGGAGGCUCCACCGCAGCCAGUGGCCCCUUUCCUAGCCAGGGUCCUCCUCAGCAGCGUGGAGAAGGUCAGCCGGUUCCCUCGCGGGAGGCUGCGGCCAUCACCCGGAGGCUCCAGCACCGGCCGGCAUGGCGUCUGGCCCCAGGGUGUCCACACACUCCUGCCGUGGAGGGGAAGCGCAGCUGGAUGUCCGCUCCUGCCUUCUUCAGCUGCAGGCGGGACUGGGCGAGACACCGCGAGUCGAGUGGAAGCCUCUGUGGAACCAGCAGAGCAGAGGAGCAGCGCCCAGCCUCUCGGGCAGCGGCCAGCCAGCCGUCCUAUGGGAGCCUGGUGCCCCCACGUGCUCACUCCUGCCACCAGGGCUUCAGCACUGCCUGUCCUGGCACCAGGGGUCAGGAGAUGGCUCACAGGGGCUGGAAAGCUGCGAAGCAAACUCUGUGGGCAGCUGGCCCAGGGGUCUUCUCGUGGCCACCGUCUGGCAGCAUCACCCAAGGCAGCCAGUGCUGGCUACAGCAGGGCCGGGCUGGACACCCCUGAGCCUGCCCUUCAGUUACGCCUCACCUGCUGAGUGCUCUGUGUCCCACCAACAGGAGCCAGUCCCUGUUGCAAGUGGCUUCGGACCUCAGUUGGGAUGCCAACGUCCUCUUGCCCUUCUGGGAUUUUCUUCAGUGUCCAGGCAGCGUGGGUGUCCCUGAGCUGUGUUCACAUUGAGCUCUGCCCUGGCCGCUGCUGGGUCCCAGCCUUGCAUCUCUCUGCUGAUGCCCCCCUCAAGAUCGCACUUCCCAGGGCAGAGGCGCCUCUCAAUGGCCUGUGUCCCCAAGGCCAUGAAGGACAUGGGACACUCACUCAAGCCUAAGUUCUCAGUGCAGGUGUAGGAAGCGGCCUCAAAUGGAUGCUGUGUAAGUGUUGUUUGGAUGGACAGGUGGGUGGUGGGUGGAUGGGUGGAUAGGUAGGUGGGUGGGUGGAGAGGUGACUGGAUGAUAGAUGGGAGGAUGGAUGGGUGGAUGGGUAGAUGGGAUAGGUGGAUGGAUGGGUGGAUAGGUGGAUAGAUAGUGGAUGGAUGGAUAGCUGAAUGGAUGAUGGAUGGGUGAAUGGAUGAUGAAUGGAUGAUGGAUGGAUGGAUGGAUGGAUGGAUGGAUGGAUGGGUAGGUGGGUGGAGGGAGGAUGGAUGGGUGGGUGGAUGGGUGGAUGAAUGGAUAGGUAGAUAGAUAAAUGGAUGGAUGGAUAGCUGAAUGGAUGAUGGAUGGGUGGAUGGAAAGGUGAAUGGAUGAUGGAUGGGUGGGUGGAUGGAUAGGCAGACAGAUGAUGAACAUAAAGCAGUGACAUAACUAUAACGACUAGGGCAUGUUCUGUGCCCAGUGACACAGCUCAGAAAGACUGAUGGCUCCCAGGGGACAGGAAACUCACUGCUCAUGACAAGAAGAAUUCUACUAACAUAUGACUGCUCAAGGAAAGGCCGUAAAUGAAUGAAUGGACUUCCCAGCCCUUGUGUGGUGGCUCACGCCUGUAAUCCAGCUGCUAGGCGGCUGAGGCAGGAGGAUCACAGGCUCAAAGCCAGCCUCAGCUACUUAGUGAGGCCCUAAGGGGCUUGGUGAGACCCUGUAAAAUAAGUCCUGGGGAUGUGGCUAGUGGUAAAGCACGUCUGGGUUCAAUUUCCAGGACCAAA
This 2599-nucleotide long non-coding RNA is filed under the name Marmota monax (woodchuck). The record is from RNAcentral. Lineage: Eukaryota; Metazoa; Chordata; Mammalia; Rodentia; Sciuridae.